GAAAUGCGAUACUUGGUGUGAAUUGCAGAAUCCCGUGAACCAUCGAGUCUUUGAACGCAAGUUGCGCCCGAAGCCAUUAGGCCGAGGGCACGCCUGCCUGGGUGUCAGUCAACAG
RNAcentral lists this unclassified non-coding RNA (115 nucleotides) under uncultured fungus. Its description in RNAcentral is "sequence contains ITS1". It matches the Rfam family "5.8S ribosomal RNA", at positions 50 to 154 of the family's 154-position model. Rfam says of the family: 5.8S ribosomal RNA (5.8S rRNA) is a component of the large subunit of the eukaryotic ribosome. It is transcribed by RNA polymerase I as part of the 45S precursor that also contains 18S and 28S rRNA. The record is from RNAcentral. Lineage: Eukaryota; Fungi.